Molecule: non-coding RNA, 376 nt
Organism: Leptonychotes weddellii (Weddell seal)
Lineage: Eukaryota; Metazoa; Chordata; Mammalia; Carnivora; Phocidae
Source: RefSeq, a predicted model, not a curated record
UGGCGGUGACGUCACACAGGUCCGGCCCGCAGACCCCCCUUCGGGGCUCGGCGACGGUCACUCUGGGAACAAAAUGGACAUGCUAUUCCGAAGAACUUCCUGGUCUGAUGGAUUCUGAUACAAGCCCAGUUGAUUUGGAAAGGUUGACUCACAAAUACAAGAACAGCGUCUCUCGGCAAGGCUCCCCUCUUGGAAGCUGGCUUUCUGGACUUCACCUCCACUUUCCAUUUGCAGCCCCCCACUCCUGGAUGCUCCUGGAUUCCAGGGCCUGGCGCGUUCCUUCCCACGAGGAUUCUUGAGGAAAACAAGUGACAUGAAAGUCCACGGAGGUAGGUUCACGGUCUCAAGCUCUGGGUGUUUUUGUUUUGUUUUUUUU